ACUGUGCCCACACACUCACACGAGUGUCAGCCCACGAGCUGAGCUCAUCUGAAAGACCCACUUGAGUUGACCGUAUACUUUGUCUUGCUUCUGACCUGCGCAAGAAAAGUAACACGGCACGGCGACGUUUCCAGCAGGGCUGAGGUCGCGGGGCUCUCACGUGACCCUGCUGCGGGACGGAGCUUAAGGCCAGCCUGUCUGGACGGCAGAAACUCGAUGAUAGGUGCUGUGAGCAGGUGCUGCCAAACAACGGCUUGCCGCCGAGACGAGGUCAAACAGGACUCGUAACGCGCCAUUUGUAUCCCUCCCCAGAUCUGAAGAGAUGAGGAUACAGACGCAGCUCAUUAGCCUGCACGAGAAAGUGGUCGGUGGAUUUAUGAUGUCCCGCAAUGUACAGAAGAUGGAGAGUUUUGUUGCUACAGAGCGGUUUGGGAAAACAUUUAAUAUUAG
Long non-coding RNA from Triplophysa dalaica, 450 nucleotides. RefSeq lists it as uncharacterized. The transcript has 3 exons. Lineage: Eukaryota; Metazoa; Chordata; Actinopteri; Cypriniformes; Nemacheilidae. The record is from RefSeq and is a predicted model, not a curated record.